This 407-nucleotide ribosomal RNA is filed under the name uncultured bacterium. RNAcentral's name for it is "partial 16S ribosomal RNA". It matches the Rfam family "Bacterial small subunit ribosomal RNA", at positions 30 to 526 of the family's 1533-position model. The record is from RNAcentral.
AUUGAACGCUAGCGGGAUGCCUUACACAUGCAAGUCGAACGGAGUGGCGAACGGGUGAGUAAUGGAUCGGAACGUGCCCAGUAGCAGGAGAUAACUACGCGAAAGCGUAGCUAAUACCGAAUACUAUUAGUGUGGCCGAUAUCGGAUUAGCUAGUGGGUGGGGUAACGGCUCACCAACGCGACGAUCCGUAGCUGUUUUGAGAGGGCGACCAGCCACACUGGGACUGAGACACGGCCCAGACUCCGACGGGAGGCAGCAGUGGGGAAUUUUGGACAAUGGGGGAAACCCUGAUCCAGCCAUCCCGCGUGUAGGAUGAAGGCCUUCGGGUUGUAAAGCACUUUUGGCAGGAAAGCGGUACCUGCAGAAUAAGCACCGGCUAACUACGUGCCAGCAGCCGCGGUAAUAC